ACCCAUUUCUUCUCUCUUUUCCUUCUCUCUCGCGCCUCACCCUCAUUGUCCGAAAAUCCCUUUCGACCCGACCCAAACCCGGCCGACCCGACCCGACUUUUUCGGCCACCUCGGACCGACCUAGACGCCGGCACCGGUUGGGUUUUCUUCCUCUCCUCCGUCCGAGCUGCCUUGUGGUGGUGGCUUGCGCCGAUUCUCAGCGGUGUGUGCGAUUCGAAGCUUGGAUGUUCGGGUUAGAGACCCGAACGAAAUUCUCACCUCCGGCGGUGGCGACGCAGCUUGGAACCGGUCGGGAUAGAUGCUCCUUGGCGUCCUGGUUUUUUUUCUGGUAGUCUUCUAGUGCGACUCACGGCGGAGAGUGACGGUGGUGGAUUCCAAACUUUCAAGCGAGUUUCCAGUGUUUUCCUACCGAUUCCAGCCGAAUUGGUUCAACCGUCAGGUAUAAAAGUUGUUUCCCUUUCUUCAAUCUACAAGUUUGCUGUUGGAAGUUUGUUGAGAUUUUGAAGUUGCUGGGGUGGCGCGUGGGGCCCACUCGUCGCCGUCUAUGGUGGAACGUGGCGGCGCGUCCGACAGGGGUUGGGAGGUUAGGAGUAACUGUUAGCUUAUGUUCGUCGAUACAAGCACGUUGACAUAUCAUGAGGUUAUGUUAUGAUCAAGUUUUGCAUCCUAGGUUUAAGAGAAUCGUGAGAGAUUGUUAAGCUUUGGUGUUUGAGCUUUGAAAUUCUUGUUAGCUAUUUCAAUAGGUUGGUUAAGGGUUCCUAUGACCUUGGGAGGUCUCGGAAGAAGGUUGUCCCUUUUUGGGCAAAUCUUAGGUUAAGGCUUGUUAAGGGUGCAAUGUUCUUUUUGUUUAAGUGGUUAUUAAAGUUAUUAAUUGUGUUAAAUAGGUAGCGUGUGGAGUUGAUAUUUAAGCUUGGCUCUUGUGUUGUGUUGAAGACACAGCGGGAAUUUAGGUGAGUAAAAUCUCACCAAGGUUCACUUUGUGACAUAUUUAUUUAUGGUUAUUAUGAUGAUGAUAAUUAUUAUGAUGAUGAUUAUGAUGAUGAAAAUGUUGAUGAUGAAGAUUUAAAAACUAUGUUUUUCUUUUUGCUUGUUUUAAAAUAUAUGAGUUUAAUCGCCAACGACUCAUAGGUAAGAAAAAACAAGUUUUUAUAUUUAAAUGAUUAUUUUUAAGGUUCUUGUGAUCAUAAUAUUUUAGUUCUUGGUAGAUUAUUCUUGUGGGAAUAUCUAUGAUUGUUCAUAUAAAUAUAUCUAUGUGGAAGAAUAUAAUUUUUAUGAUGUGCUCUUUGUGUUGUUGAUGAUGAUAUUAUUAUAUUGUGAGUAAAUCUCACAUGGGUUCAUAAAGAAAUCGAGUUUAUUUUAUAGUUUAUUAUUGCUAAUUGUGAAGUUGUCCUUGAAAUGAAAUGAUUUUGUUUUUAAAUAUAAAUGAGCUUGAUCGUCAACGGCUCAUGGGUAAGUAAAAAUAUUUUUCUGAUAAAAAUAAAAUAUUUCAAAAGAACUUCUGAUCAUGGGUUAUUAGUUGUCGAUGUGUGUGUCUUAGUGGUAAUUGUGUGCAUUAGUUGUGGAACAGUGCCUUAGUGGUGAACUGGUGAUUGUGUGCAUUAGUUGUGGAUGUGUGUGUCUUAAUGAUGAUUGUGUGCAUUCGUUGUGGAAUGUGCCUUAGUAGUGAUUGUGUGUCUUAGUUGUGAAUGUGUGCCUUAGUGGUGAUUGUAUGCAUUAGUUGUGGAUGUGUGUCUUAGUGGUGAUUGUGUGCAUUAGAUUAGGAGUCUUCGUGGUGGACCGGGAACCAAGCCUUGGCCGGGUGAUUGAUUACGGUCAGUAUAGAGCUCUAGUUUGUCUGUCGGUACUUCAUGGGGGAUGACUAAGUGUCAACGAACCCAUGCGUACGCGUUUGUUUGGUUACUUAUGAGGGAUGACUAAGUGUUGACGAACUCAUAAGUAAGAGUAGAGAAAUGAUUAUGUGAUGUUCUUAUGUGUUGUCAUUUAAAUUCCUUGCUUUGAGUAUCUCCUGAACUAUGCUUAUCCGCAGGAGAUUCUAAAUCUUUACUUGUGAUUUUUAGUGAAUUCCUGAACUACAUUUUUUUGCAGGAUUCAUUUAUGAUUUUAAUUAUUUGUGGAUGGUUGUGUUUUCUUAUUUACUCUAUUUUAAAUUCUCUCAUUUUUAGGCAAUUCCUGAACUAAGUUUAUAAGCAAGAAUUACUGAUGUUUAUCUUGUGAUGUUAGGUUGAGUUCUUUAAUGUAGAUUUACUCAUAUGAGCUUUUAAAGCUUACCGAGUUUGUUGUUUACAACCCGGUACACCAAUCCAGGGUGUAGAGGUUGAUUUUGCAGGUCAGGUUUAGCAGAGUUAAGGCUGCGGCAAUUAGGUAAUUUUUCUUUUUGUUUACUUUCUAGUUGUUGUGAGUAUUGAGAGAGUUUUACUUUGUUCAAAAUUAUUUUCCACAAGUUGUAAAACUAAAUUGUUGUAGUGAUUGUUUUUCUUUUUUGGUUAUUAUGCCUUGAAUUUGAAAUUUUUUAUUUAUCCAAAAUUUAGGGUGUGACAACCUAAACGCUUGAUUUGUUCCACUUUCUGAAAGCGGGAGGAAUCACUUAAAGUGCUUAGGCUCUACGUAUUUUUCGACCGCGCAAGGAAGAGUAGAAAUCCUGAGAUUGCACAAAGUCAUCCUCUUUCAAGUUUUGUAUGUCUCUUCUUUAACAUGGAAAACACUUCGAGCAAAUUCAUUUCCUUGUUUUGAUAUGGCAGUACUCUAUACAACCCGAGCAAACUCAUUUUCUUACUUUGUUAUGACUGGACUUAGAAGCAUCUUCCAAGCUGCCUACGUACUCUUACGAGAAAGAGAUCAAGUCACGACGUAGUUCAAGGAUUUUUUUAUAUUUUUUUAGGUGUCGUACGCAGUUUAUGCUCGUGGGGGCAAGGAGCAUUUUUUUUUUUGUGCCUUGUGCAGUUGAGGCUCAUGCAGGCUAGGAGUUGUUUUUUUUUUUCUUUUUUUUGGUUGUCAUUUGCAAUUUAAGCUCGUGCAGACAAGGAGCGAUAAUUUUUUUUUGUUUUUUGUUUUUUUUUGUGUGUCAUUCGCAGUUUAAACUAGUGCGGACAAGAAACAUUUUGACUCUUGAGUGGUCUACAUAAAUUUAGACGGGUUGCAUGCCCCUAACAAAGGUGUUGAGGACACCACUUCAAGGUGUUCAAAAAAGAUGGUUGCAUAAUUUGACUAAGCCACGUCAUCUUCAACAUCUAAACAUAUCUUUCCUUGUUGUGCUAGCUUCAUGAUGAGGUCUUUCAAGACGAAGCCCUUCUCCAGGAUGACCGAUGACACGGUGGUACUUGUAAUACUUAGGAUCAUUGACACGAUGCAUCUCUUCUGGACGCUUGCAGUCUGGCAAUUUGAUUAGUUCUUUUUCAAGCAAGUUUUCCAACAUCUCAACAACAUCGAAAUCUGGAAAAGGGUAACUUUUAGCUUCCAAGUCAUUUAGAGUUUGCCUCCUUGCUUGAUCUUGCAGGAGUUGUACUGAUUGCCAAAGACUCUUGAUUCUCUGGUUCUAUGAUGUCACAUUUUCUUUGGCCAUGACUAGCCAAACUGAGUUCCAUGUCAUGAGCUCGGGUAGCAAGUUCUUCAAAGGUGCGAGGCUUUAUCCCUUGAAAAAUGUACAACAAAUCCCAAUGCAUGCCUUGAAUACACAUCUAUACCGCUGACAAUUUUAAGAGUCGGUCUUUGCAGUCGAGACUUAGUGUACGCCAACGAUUGAUGAACUCUACAGCAGGCUCGCCAUUUUGUUGUUUGGUGUUGGUGAGCUCUAACAUACUCACCAUGCGACGUGUGUUGAAGAAGUGGUUCAAGAACUCCUUUUCCAUUUGCUCCCAGCUGUCAAUGAAUUCAGGCUCCAAGUCUGUAAACCAUUUAAACUCCGUGCCUUGGAGUGAGCGAACAAAUUGCUUCACAAGAUGAUCACCAUCGGUGCCAGUGUUGUUGCAUGUUUCGAUGAAAUGUGCGAUGUGUUGCUUUGGGUUACAUUUGCCAUCAAAUUGUUAAAACUUGGGAGGUUGGUAACCAGUUGACAUUCUCAAAUUGUCUAGCCGCUUGGUGUAAGACUUGGAAUACGUUAGUGUAUCUCGAGGCGAACCACCAUAUUGAGCUUUGAUUGUCUUGGCAAUCAUGUCUUGAAGCUGUUGAACUAACAAUGAAGCUAGGAUGGAAUUUGAUUCUCCUUUUUGCUCGGAAGAUGAUCCACUAGACUUGUCUUUCUUAUCGCCAUGAAGGUUAUUCUCCGAGUCAUUGUCGUGGUGAACUUCUAGCUUCUCCAUGAGUGAUGCAAUUUCUACAUCCUUCUCUUCAAUGGUCUUUUGGAGCUUCUUCACCGCUUCAGUCAACUGGGCUAUUUGGGCCGCUUGUUCUUCCAUGUUGAUCACUUCUAUCACCAUGACUUGCAUGGCGCAAGAGUCGUCUUCUAGAAUCGCUUCAAUUUGAUUGUCAAGAUGCAAUUCCAAGUGUGGACAUAUCUUCGAAUCAACUUUGGUUGUGGGCGAAGGAGAAUGUUUCCUCGAGUUGCCUGACGAUGUUAAAAGUCUUUGCUUCGUGAGGUUUGCCACCAUUGUUGUCCAAACGUCGAUCAGCUGAAACUGCUUUGAGGAAUGAAGGUUGAAUGUUGUGAGUUGAAAUGACUCACUAUGAGCAACAUGAUCGCUAAGGUUUCUACUGCUUUUCAGAGUAGCUAUAUAGCUACCUUGUUGGUCUUGUUUUUCGAUUUGAUUUGCACCAUCUUUGAAGCCAUGUGAUGAGGAUGGCGAGAUUGUCGGAGGAGGAGAUGAGAGGCAGAGAUGGUCUCACUGGGCGUGCCAAUUUUGUAAACACGAAAAUUUCUGUAACGAAUAACAGAAAGACAUGUGUACAAAAUAAUAUAUUUGUAUUGAUUGAAUUUGCGGGUUACAAUCUCUGUGGGUAUUCUUUUAACAAGAAUGUCCUCUGAUUCGAUCUCCAUCGUUGAUUUGAUCCAAGGGUGACGAGCACUUGAUCUUGAAUUGAACUGUUGUAGUUUGAACUUCUUAUCGUGUUGACGAUUUGUAGAAGGAAGUUGACCAAGGGCCGUAGAGGCUUGAUCUUGGUCGAAUUUGGGUCGAGAAAGGUGUCACGUGGUGAACGUUCUUCGGCUUGAUAGCGGAUGAAUCGGCACGUGUGUUUGGUGCUUGUUGAUUCUCCAACAGCUUGUUGAAGAACUUGGUAAAAGUUUUGAUUUGUUGAAAGGCUUGAAGACGAGGGUUGAUCAAAGGCCGUAGAGGCUUGACAUUGAUCGGGUUUGGGCCACGAGCAGUUCCACGUGGUGGUUGCUCUUCGUCUUGUAGUUGGUGAAGAUGUCGGCUAUUUGACAAUUUGGGACUCUUCGGGAUUUGACAACUUCUAGGUUUGAGGUUGAUGAAGAAUCGACUAUUUGACAGCUUGAUAAUUCUUCAAGGGUUCUGGGAGAAUUCUGAGCUCUCGAGAGUAAUUUUUCUCUCUUGUCCGGAAGUCCUCUUCUUGAUAUGAGAGAGGGGUAUUUAUAGUGUCGACGUUCCUCCGUUUAUGGAAUGUUUUGAAGACAGUGUUUUAAUUGUAUUUCCUUAACAGUAUAAUUAAAUCAAUCAGUUUUGAUUGAUUGAUCUAAUUAUAAUUAUUAACAUAAUUAAAUCAGUCUGUAUUUAUUGAUUGAUUCGAUUAUGACUGAUAAAGUAUUUUGCUAAUUUGAUUAAAUGUUCGACUUCCUUUCCGAUAAUCAAUUUAAUUUGAUUGAAAUUUGAUUAUCGAUUGACAUUUAAUAUUUACUUUUAGUCGGAAUUGAUGAUUUUUGUUGUCGACUGAUCAUUCACACGUGACCACAUGUCAUUUUCGAAGACUUUAUAAUUUUUCCAACUGACGAACCACAUAUGC
RNAcentral lists this long non-coding RNA (5892 nucleotides) under Fragaria vesca (wild strawberry). RNAcentral's name for it is "long non-coding RNA (FVES_LNC001405)". Lineage: Eukaryota; Viridiplantae; Streptophyta; Magnoliopsida; Rosales; Rosaceae. The record is from RNAcentral.